GACGAAGGGGGCUAGCGUUGUUCGGAAUUACUGGGCGUAAAGCGCGUGUAGGCGGUUGUUCAAGUCGGGUGUGAAAGCCUUGAGCUCAACUCAAGAAAUGCACUCGGUACUGGAUGACUAGAGGACCGGAGAGGAUAGUGGAAUUCCCAGUGUAGUGGUGAAAUGCGUAGAGAUCGGAAAGAACACCAACGGCGAAAGCACUCUGCUGGGCCGACACUGACACUGAGAGACGAAAGCUAGGGGAGCGAAUGGG
This 253-nucleotide ribosomal RNA is filed under the name uncultured bacterium. RNAcentral describes it as "partial 16S ribosomal RNA". It matches the Rfam family "Bacterial small subunit ribosomal RNA", at positions 524 to 776 of the family's 1533-position model. The record is from RNAcentral.